UCUUGACUGGUAUCAUUCGUGAGAGGAGCGAUGUAUCAUUCGUAACCUAGCAGCACUGUACAUUUUCGAUCUGGGUUGCUGUUGCUGCCGUGGGUGCCAGAAGCUACUGCUGUUGUGUCAUCCACAGUUAAAGAAAAGGAGUCUUGACUGGUACAAUGGAUAUUGAUUCGAACAAUAAUUUUUUCAAUGGGAGUGACGAAGUUGAAGAAAAAGAUAACAGUCUUUAAUUUAAUGAGUGUGAAGAUGACGAAGUUGAAGAAGAAGAAGUUGAAGAACCUAAGAAGGGAAUGUAUUUUAGCUCAAAGGAAGAGGUGUACGCAUUUUAUGCAGAAUAUGCCAAACACUCGGGAUUUGCUAUAGCUUAUAAAUCACAAAAUUUAACAUGUGAUGGGGAAGUUAAGUACUUUGGAAUUGAAUGUACUAGGGCGCGGAACAGAACAAAAAGAUCAGAAAUAAAUCCCUUGGAACCAUCUUUGUUAUCAAGAAAUGAGUGUAAAGCAAAGGUAAGAGCCAGUCUACAAAAGGAUAGAACAUAUAAGUUAACCACAGUUGUGCUUGAGCACACUCAUGGUUUGGUUGCGACUGACUCACGGCAUUUUGCAAUGAAUAAGAGGAUUGUUGAGCCGGUGAAGAGGAGAUUAGAAGUUAACGAUGCAGCAAGAAUUGGUGUGGCUAAGAAUUUUCAUUCCAUAGUUGUUGAAGCGGGGGGAUAUGAGGCAUUAACGUUUGAUGAAUGAGAUGCAAGGAAUUAUAUCAACAAUGCUAGAAUGUUGAGACUUGGGGUAGGAGACGCCGAAUCAAUUACACAUUAUUUUCAUAAAAUGCAACAACAAAAUUCAAACUUUUAUUCGGCAAUUGACCUUGAUGAAGAUGGUCGCAUGCGCAACUUGUUCUAGGCAGAUGCAAGGAGUAGGGCGGCUUACAAAGCAUUUGGGGAUGUUGUCUCUUUUGACACAACCUAUUUGACAAACAAAUAUGACAUGCCAUUUGCUCCGUUUGUAGGAUAUAUCACCAUGGACAACCAAUUUUGUUCGGUUGUGGGUUGUUAAGUAAUGAGAACACGGAGACUUUUGUUUGGCUAUUCAAAGAAUGGUUAAGUUGCAUGUCAGAUGCUCCCCCAAAAGCGAUAAUAACUGACCAGUGCAGAGCUAUGCAAAAUGCCAUAGAAAUUGUCUUCCCAGAGGCUUGGCAUUGUUGGUGUUUAUGGCAUAUUAUGAAGAAAAUUCCCGAGAAAUUGAAAGGAUAUUCACAAUACGAGUCCAUUAAGGUUGCUUUCAGUAAUGUAGUUUAUGACUCAUUCACAAUAGAUGAAUUUGAGGAUUACUGGGAAGUAAUGAUUGAAAAUUUCAAUUUGAAUGAUAACGAGUGGUUGGGGGUAUUACACUGUGAGAGACAUAGGUGGAUUCCUGCCUAUGUUAAAGACAUAUUUUGGGCUGGCAUGUCAACUACACAACGAAGUGAGAGUAUGAAUGCAUUCUUUGAUGGAUAUGUGAACUCCAAGACAACGUUGAAGCAAUUUGUUGAGCAGUAUGACAAUGCGUUGAGAAGUAAGGUAGAGAAGGAGACAAGCAGAUUUUAAGUCUCGUAACAAAUUGUAUGAUUGCUUAACGGUGUAUCGUUUUGAGAAGCAAUUUCGUGCAGCUUACACUAAUUCCAAAUUUAAAUAAGUUCAAGUAGAACUGAAGCGUCUAGUGUAUUGUCAUGCAAAUCUUAUCAAACAAGAGGGAGCAGUUUCUACCUAUCAUGUGAGGGAGGCUAUUGUUCUGGGUGAGGGGAUAAAGAAAGUGGAAUUUGUUGUGUACUUUAAUUCAACUGAAUGUGAGCUCCAAUGUAUGUGUCGAUUGUUUGAGUUUAGAGGUAUUAUGUGUGCACAUUCACUUUCUGUGCUCAUUGAGAGAUCCAUAUAUGAGGUGCCAACUAAAUACAUUGUUUCAAGAUGGAGAAAAGACUUGGAAAGAGGCUACACAUGCAUUCCAACCACAUAUACUAACUUUGGCUCUUCUCUACAUCCAAAGUUGCAUGAUAACUAUCACAACACGUUAGAUGAGAUCCUAGAUUUUGCUACCAAUGAUGAUGCUAAACACAAAGUGAUUCGACUUAGGUUGAUGAAAAUCAAGGAUGAAGUGAGAACAGUUCAAUCAAGUAGUGCGAGCAAUGUGCCAUGUACUAGUACUUUACCACCUUCAAGUAGUACUUUACCACCUUCCCAUACUUCACCAAAAAGUCCGCCUUGUAUCAAUACUACAAAAGAAAGCAUGACUCACAACGUACGAAGUCCUUUGGUUGCUCGCCGAAGAGGCCGUUCAUGUACGAAAUAAAAGGUUAGCAAGGUUGAUGCAAUAGUCAAUCGGUUGAAGGAAAAGAAUAAGAAGGUGCAUCAAGGUGAACCUCGUAAGUUAAGCUUUCCUUGUAUGUGAGUCGUGCAACACACUAUGUAUGAACCGGUACGUGUUAAAUAUGAAGGUUGUUUGGGGUUUUUUAUUUUGGCUUCUAAUUUUACUGCUUGAAAUUAGUAAUUUACUUGUGUUACUAUUUCAUCAUUAGGUGCCGCCAAGUUAAUAUUACUAUCGUCCUUCUAUGGAUGCCAUAGCAGAUCCUUUCCUUGUCCCGGCACCAGUUACCACAAGUGGGGACGAUAUUAGGAGCACAUCUCACCAAGAAGCUGGAAUGGUCAACAAUAUUAGCAGUGAAAGAUCGAUAGUACCGUCAUAUUUUGUUGACUUGAACAUCGACGGGGAUCCGAAUCUCCCAUUUCUUUUUUAGUUUCGAAGUGGUAAUUGUACGUGAAUUUCAUUUGUAAACUUCAGAUUAUUCACUUGAAUGUCCCAUAUGUUUGAGUUCAAUGAAGUGAAUGUCCCAUAUUUUUUAGUUGAAUG
Molecule: non-coding RNA, 2876 nt
Organism: Camellia sinensis
Lineage: Eukaryota; Viridiplantae; Streptophyta; Magnoliopsida; Ericales; Theaceae
Source: RefSeq, a predicted model, not a curated record